This 708-nucleotide long non-coding RNA is filed under the name Helianthus annuus (common sunflower). The record is from RNAcentral. Lineage: Eukaryota; Viridiplantae; Streptophyta; Magnoliopsida; Asterales; Asteraceae.
CUCAUGUUUAACUAGGAAUGGAUUUCUAUUCGAAAUUAAAGGAAAAGAGAGACGGGAACUCCGGUGUCCCCUCCGACAACCCGCGACGGCCUAAUCCAGCGCGUACACAACCCGCAACUACAUAAGGGAGAUUGGUGAACCUAACGGUGGUGUUCGUACGGUCAGACGAGUGACGUCGGUGGUUUUAAUGGAGUAAUUAGUAGCGGAGGCUAGGGUUUCUUAUUCUGUAUAUUGACAUGAGGGUUGAUUAACUACUGUUACGCCAUAAUAUUGCAGAAAUGGUGGUGGUUUGCUCACACCUGGUGUAUGAAGAUGAUCUAUGGCAGGAAAUUCGAUCCAUUUUAUAAACAAUUAUGUGCCUAAAACCCAAGAUUGAAGAUCCCUGCUCUGUGGUUUUUUGUGUGUGGCCGGAAAGUUGAAGGUGGCCGGAUUUCUUCUUACAAGCUGGCAUGAAGACGGGGUGGUACCACCAGCCUCAUCAGUUGUACCGCAGCAGUUUAGGAAGAGAGAGGAACACGUUGCAGAAAAUUGAACGUGGCAAAAAACUAAAUUAUGAAGACCCCAUACUUAUCCUUUCCUUGCCAAGUUCAUCACAUCUCGAGGAAAAAAGGAGUUCUAGCUAGAGAAAAUGAAAGGUGUUUGGGGUGCCUAAAGUAUGAUCCUUACAAGCAAAAAAAUUUCAGUUGAACGGGUUGCUUGAUGUUGGUA